Long non-coding RNA from Apis cerana (Asiatic honeybee), 683 nucleotides. RefSeq lists it as uncharacterized. Lineage: Eukaryota; Metazoa; Arthropoda; Insecta; Hymenoptera; Apidae. The record is from RefSeq and is a predicted model, not a curated record.
CUUGGAACGUAAAUGGCUCAAUAAUAGGGGGUACUGGAAAAGGUCAAGAGAGAAGAGAGAACCAUACGUGAGAGCGAGAAAAAGAUGGCACCAAAAAACGCAAGAACCUUUUUUUUGUACCAGUAUAGCGAAUAAUGGCGAACCAUUUCCGCACUUGAUGUCGUCCACUUGGAAUCGAAACAAUCUGGAACAAUCGUGGAAUAACGGAUUGAACGUAAUGCCUUACCGAUCACUGCGACGUCUCCUGAUCUUCUUGCGCUGUGUCCUUGUUUAUUCCUCGCUGAACACGUGUACACGCCUGCAUCGCCUUUCUUCUGCACACUCGUGAUGACCAAGGUACCGUCUGGAAGCACUUUUUGUCGAAGAUCAUCUGGCAAUUCACGAUUCGCUCGUUCCCAUUUGAUUUCUUCGAUAGGGUAGCCGGCGACUGGACAUUUCAAACGAAGAGUUUCACCGGCAACAGCGGUAACUUUUGGAAUUAGUCGAAUAUAUGGAAGACCUAUGUGAAAUAAGAAAAAUAAAUUUAAAAAUAAGAAAAACAAAUAAAUAGUAAUUGAAAAUUAUGAAAUAUAAAAUAAUUAUUAAAUAUUUAGUAAUGUCAUUAAAGUAAAAUAAUUAUUAUUAUCUUCAUUAUUUAAAAUGUGUUUUAAUAAUAAAGUAAUGAAAUAUUUAUUUAUUAUAAA